UACGUAGGGGGCAAGCGUUGUCCGGAAUCAUUGGGCGUAAAGCGCGUGUAGGCGGUUCGGUAAGUCUGCUGUGAAAGUCCAGGGCUCAACCCUGGGAUGCCGGUGGAUACUGUCGGACUAGAGUACGGAAGAGGCGAGUGGAAUUCCCGGUGUAGCGGUGAAAUGCGCAGAUAUCAGGAGGAACACCGGUGGCGAAGGCGAUUCUCUGGGCAUUACCUGACGCUGAGGAGCGAAAGUGUGGGGAGCGAACAGG
RNAcentral lists this ribosomal RNA (253 nucleotides) under uncultured bacterium. RNAcentral describes it as "partial 16S ribosomal RNA". It matches the Rfam family "Bacterial small subunit ribosomal RNA", at positions 524 to 776 of the family's 1533-position model. The record is from RNAcentral.